Lolium perenne is the source of this 1957-nucleotide long non-coding RNA. RefSeq lists it as uncharacterized. The record is from RefSeq and is a predicted model, not a curated record. Lineage: Eukaryota; Viridiplantae; Streptophyta; Magnoliopsida; Poales; Poaceae.
GCGCCGAACCGUAAUUCUGCUGGCGGCGCCCAUACCUCCGGCCGACCGGCGACGCGGACGUCGACAGCAAGCCCCCACUGCUCCGCCGGAUCCUCCCCUCCCCAUUCUCUCCGGUCUCCGCCAUCUCCACGGCCACGGGGACCCCCAUACUCGGCGUCCCGAUCCUCUCCGGCCGACCGGCGACGCCCAAGUCGACAGCAAGCCUCCGCGGGUCCGCCGGAUCCUCCCGUCCCCAUCCUCUCCGGCCUCCACCAUCUCCACGGCCACGGGGACCCCCAUACUCGGCGUCCCCAUCCUCUCCGGUCUUCCUCUGGUCGUCCCGUACUCGGCCGGCCACGGCUCGACGGCUCCACCAUCUCCUCCGCCACGGCCACGGCUCGACGGCUCCACCAUCCCCACGGCUCACUGCUCAAGCCUCAAGCGGUCAGGCCUCAGAUGUCCGAGACCGAGAGUCAUAGCAUGGCACACUUGGAUGUUGAUCUUGGUUUUGAAGGUGAUGGCUCCGGCACUGGUACCGGCAUUGGAUCUGGUCCUACAAAUUCGACCCCAGUCAGCAGUGUCAAGAAACAAAUGAACAAACGUAGCAAGAUAUGGCAGCACUUCACUGUCCAUGAAAAUGAUCCAAAUCGUGCCAUUUGUAACUAUUGCGGUUCAAAUCUGGGCUGCAAAUCUUCAAGUGCAGGUACUUCUUCCCUCAUAAACCAUAUGAAAUCUUGCAAGAAGAAUCCUAGCAAGCUUGGUGGCCAUCAAACAGAGCUUAUGUACCAACCUAGUGCUGAUGGUAAUUCUAUUCCUUCGGGAGGUACUUGGCAAUACAAUGAGAAAGAAAUUAGGGAAGCAUUUGCUCGCAUGAUAGUAGUCGAUGAGCUGCCAUUCAUAUUUUCAGAAAAAGAAGGUUUUAGGUUCUUCAUGUCCAAAGCUUGUCCUAGGUUCAUUGUUCCAUCUAGAACAACUAUGUAUAGAGAUGUUAUGGCUCUUUACAAUUCUGAGAAAGCUAAGCUCAAAAAAUAUUUCAUUGAUUCCCGUCAAACUGUUUGCCUCACCACUGAUUGUUGGACAUCGUCAAAGGCUCAAGGAUACAUGGUUCUUACUGCACAUUACAUCACCCCUGAGUGGAAUCUUCAAAAAAAAAACUUAGCUUUGUGUUGGUAGAUGGCCACAAAGGGGAGGAAAUUGGGAAAUCAUUAGAUAAACUACUAAUGGAGUGGGGCAUUGAUAAAGUGUGCACUAUUACCGUAGAUAAUGCUUCUUCCAAUGAUACUUGCUUAAAUUACAUGAAGAGUUCUUUGACAAAUAGGGAUGGUGCAAAUAGCAAAACUGAAUUGGACAAGUACCUAUCCGAGGAUCCAGAAGAGCAAUCUCCUGAAUUUGAUGUUCUCUGUUGGUGGAAGUGCAACUCUGCUCGUUUUCCCGUCCUUUCAAAACUGGCACGUGACAUACUAGCAAUCCCCAUCUCAACUGUUGCUUCUGAAUCAGCUUUCAGUACUAGUGGUCGUAUUCUAGAUGACUUCAGAAGCUCUUUGACCCCGAUGACACUACAAGCCUUGAUAUGUACACAAGACUGGUUGCGCCGUAAGCGUAUCAAUAUUGAGGCUGAUCUUGCUGAAUUGACCAAGCUAGAGGAAGAUUUUGGAGGCCUCCAAGUGGAUGAUGAUGAGAUAAUACCUCUUGAUUGAUCCUCCUGUGUGGAGACGUAGAGUAACUGUUGGCGAAAAUCCAAGACCAUGGUGUAUCCGUGUAUGCUAGUUGCUAGCUGUAGCUAGUUGCCUGUUUGAGUUGGCGAAAAUCCAAGACCAUGCUGUAGCUAGUUGCAUGUUUGAGUUUGCCCCAUGGACCAGAUGAUGUACUGAUCUGCUAUGGUGCUAUUUUCCUGUUCAAGUUGCCUGUUCAAGUUUGCCCCAUGGUGUAUACUGCUAGUUGUAGCUACCCUGUAGCUGCUAAUCUGCUAUGGUGCUAU